Molecule: ribosomal RNA, 851 nt
Filed under: uncultured Pseudomonadota bacterium
Lineage: Bacteria; Pseudomonadati; Pseudomonadota
Description: bacterial SSU rRNA
Rfam family: Bacterial small subunit ribosomal RNA
Source: RNAcentral
CAAGUCGAACGCGAAAGUCCCGCAAGGGAUGAGUAGAGUGGCAAACGGGUGAGUAACACGUGGGUGACCUGCCUUCGAGCGGGGGAUAACGUCCCGAAAGGGACGCUAAUACCGCAUGACAUCCUGCCUUUGAACAGGCGGUGAUCAAAGCUGGGGAUCGCAAGACCUAGCACUUGAAGAGGGGCCCGCGCCUGAUUAGCUAGUUGGUGAGGUAACGGCUCACCAAGGCGACGAUCAGUAUCCGGCCUGAGAGGGCGGACGGACACACUGGGACUGAGACACGGCCCAGACUCCUACGGGAGGCAGCAGUGGGGAAUUGUUCGCAAUGGGCGCAAGCCUGACGACGCAACGCCGCGUGGAGGAUGAAGACCUUCGGGUCGUAAACUCCUUUCGAUCGAGACGAACGGCCUCCGGGUGAACAAUCCGGGGGAGUGACGGUACCGAGAGAAGAAGCCCCGGCUAACUCCGUGCCAGCAGCCGCGGUAAUACGGGGGGGGCAAGCGUUGUUCGGAAUUACUGGGCGUAAAGGGCUCGUAGGCGGCCAACUAAGUCAGACGUGAAAUCCCUCGGCUUAACCGGGGAACUGCAUCUGAUACUGGAUGGCUUGAGAUCGGGAGAGGGAUGCGGAAUUCCAGGUGUAGCGGUGAAAUGCGUAGAUAUCUGGAGGAACACCGGUGGCGAAGGCGGCAUCCUGGACCGACACUGACGCUGAGGAGCGAAAGCCAGGGGAGCAAACGGGAUUAGAUACCCCGGUAGUCCUGGCCCUAAACGAUGAAUGCUUGGUGUGGCGGGUAUCGAUCCCUGCCGUGCCGAAGCUAACGCAUUAAGCAUUCCGCCUGGGGAGUACGGUC